RNAcentral lists this long non-coding RNA (6690 nucleotides) under Bemisia tabaci. Its description in RNAcentral is "lncRNA ENSSSA1UGG005363". Lineage: Eukaryota; Metazoa; Arthropoda; Insecta; Hemiptera; Aleyrodidae. The record is from RNAcentral.
AUGAAAAGCGAAUUCUUCGCCGAACCGCUGUGUGACAGCAGGAAGCUAGGAAUUUUCAAAGUAUCCAAACUGUCAUUGACCAUUCACACAUGGCCUAUAUCAGAGAUAGUAACAAAGUUUGUCCGCCUUCCAUACGUAAAAGAUGAAACCAUACCUGUGAGAUAUAGGCGAGAAGAAUUUGUAGUAAUACCCAUGCUGCACACUAAAGUAGCGUCACCUAUUUAGCGCAUCAUUUGCCUGAAUGAAAGUAGAUGAACUUCGAUAUUUAUUUCAUAGAAGAGAACGACUCCUCGGAAAUUACUCAAAAUUUCUUGAAACAAAUGAUAUUGUUAGAGCAAUUUAAAUAUUUCAUACGGAGAUCUUAGUAGAGUAGUAGUUCGUCUUAUCUUCACUCCUCGCGCAGUUUCUGGAAGCAAUCACGUUUUUUUUAGCCAUCUGAUGACCAUUUGCUUCAAAUUUCAAGAACACAGCCACAAGAUCUCAUUUACUUGCUCCACAAACCCUGAUGUUCAUCCAAGGCCGAAAUCGUUUAAUUCAUAUUUCUUCACUUGAAAUUCUAAGAAAAUCUUGAAGAGUGGGGACACAUGGGAUCUUAUCUACGCUACUGAAGAAGAUGAAUACGACGUUAUUCCUUCUAAAUGGAGGAAUGGCAAUAAAUGUGCGUUUCCGGACCCUACAGUUUCUAAAAAUGAGCUUAACAACCUCGUCCGAAACUGUGGUGACCCAGGUGAUAAAUGGAGCCAGAUAGACUGUCAAUUCAUCAAAGAGUACGACAAUUUUGAAGAUGCCUGCAUUGACAUGGUCCGUAAAACUAAAAAACGUCGACUGGCCAGUGAAAGCGCAGACGAAACAGCAAAGAAACGAAGAUCAUCAACCCCUCCUAUUUAUGGUGAUUUCUCCAAUGUGAUCAUUCCAGGGAAAAAUUCUAACACAAAGAAAAUUCCCCAACCAAAAAAACAAGAAUCUCCAAAGACAUCUGGUCCCAAAAAUCAAGAAUCUCCAAAGACACCGGGUCCCAAAAAUCUAGAAUCUUCAAAGACAUCGCGUCCCAAAAAUCAAGAAUCUGCGAAGACAUCGGGUCCCAAAAAUCAAGAAUCUCCAAAGACAUCGGGUCCCAAAAAUCAAGAAUCUGCGAAGACAUCGGGUCCCAAAAAUCAAGAAUCUCCAAAGACAUCGGGUCCCAAAAAUCAAGAAUCUCCAAAGACAUCGGGUCCCAAAAAUCAAGAAUCUCCAAAGACAUCGGGUCCCAAAAAUCAAGAAUCUCCAAAGACAUCGGGUCCCCAAAAUCAAGAUUCUCUCAAGACAUCAGAUCCCAAAACACAUCAACAGCAACCAGACAUGAAAAAGCAGCGGCAACCUUGUCAAUGUCCGGUUCCUCAGCGCGACUAUCACAAUUGUGCCAGUGCACCAGCAAUAUCCUUAAAGUCGGUAGCCGCUGCAUUAUGUUAUGCAUCCCGUGCGCAAGAGAAGAGUUACUCGCGAGAGGAAAGACACCACAAAGAAGUCUGCUCAAAACUCGAUGAAAUUUUAAAGGCGGUGAAAGGUUUGAAAAUCACCAACCCAGAAACUGGUGGGAGUGGACCUGCUGCGAUACCUCGCCGCAUUAUUUCCGACUCAGAUGUCGAUCCUGAAGUUCUUGAAGGGCUCCCAAUUUUAAGAACGAAAGUCUUAAAGAAGAUUGUCCGGUUAUUAGAUGAAGAUUCUUCAUUCAAAGACAAACUAAUUGCUACUAUUGUAAAUGAAAAAAUAACCAAAGCCGCCUCAUUUCCCACAGCUACUGCCCGUCAAGUUCUGGCGGAACUUAUUUCUCCCGGAAAGGCAAAGCUUUUUUCUUGGGAUGGAAAGAAAAGAAAUGGUAUCUGCAAAAUUGCUUUCAGCAAACUUCCAUUCAAAGAUAUCGUAUAUGAAGCUACUAGAUACCUCCAUCAUCCGACAGUGAUCCCGGCAGGAUUUCUAGAUUUUUCUUUGGGCCAGUGGUUCUCCCAAGUGAGCAAGAAGGAAGAAAAUUCCAGUAGCCGCCUCCUGAAUGCAACCCAAGUUGGAGAUAUUGAGGACAGUGCAGAUGAGGAAACUGGAGACAAUGAAAGUAUUGAUGUCGGAAAUGAAGAUGAAAAUGAGUUAGAAAAGGAAAUAGAGGAAGAAAAUGAGGAAGAAAAGGAAACUGAGGAAGGAAAUGACGCGGAAAAGGAAAUGGAGGACAACAAUGAGGAACAGGUUAAAAUUUUCAUAUUUCUAUUUUCUGAAGGGUUCAAUCUCAAAGACAUGUGGAGUGCUCGUAUCUAAAAGCACGGGGAAAAAGUGAAGCCUGGUUUGGCUCUGGGUGCUUGUGUGAGUGUGUAAAUGAGCGCGGGAAUCCAUGGCGGCAAACGGAAAUUUGAUUUGAACUUGUCCUCUUGAUUUUUCCACAUUUCUUCUUCUAAACGUAUUUUAAAUGCCUAAAACGAAUAUCUUAAGAAAGUUGGGACUGCGACCUAGUAUAAUACACUUACUUUUUCUCCGUCUACAGGCAGUAAUUACAAAUAAAGUUAGUUUUUCUUCUGCGCAUGGUGAGGCCUGCCGGUUUAAACAGGUCGUUACAGUCCUAGAUGACCAUUACUCCCAAAUGAAAUUAAUCGGUCGACGACGGACCAAAACUAACCUAAAGUUAAAAAAAUAUGAGUGGGUAAGUGAAUUUGGGCAAAAAUCAACCUAGAAUACUUUGUUUUCGCAAUUUUAUUUAGUUCCCGCCCUACAUUUGAAUUUCAAACUUGUCCCGAUUUUGCCGCCAAUCCUCUAGCCAAUAGUAGAGGUGGUUGAACAGAAGCUUCAUAUUUUGCUUUUAGCACUCCAUCUUUAUGUCUUUGGUUCAAUCUAAAGAAAGCUGCUUUAGGGUGAUAUACGGUGCUGCUGAAGCUUUAGUCUGUAGUGUGUGAUGCUAAAGUUUCUUAUUUUUUAAUUUAUAACUGUGCAUAAAUUCCUUGUAGAGAUAUCAGUAAUCAUUCAAUUAUAAGAAAAAAUCACCAAUCAUACUGACUGUGAAACUGCAGACACAUAUAUCUCAGUUUGCAACAUUGCAGACUUCUUGUGGUACCUUAAUUUUUAAUGGAAAUUUCCUGGACGUCUUUUCUUGAAAACUUUUUUGAUGCCUCGUCUUUGUUCAGAGAAUACUCUUUGAAAAUUUUAUGAUAUGAUGUCCGUAUGUUCUCCUAGAGGUUCGUUGGCUAAGUUGGCAUUCGUUUAAUUUUCAUUUGCAAGCGACUGCGAUGUAACUGUCCAAUAGUAAUCAAGGAUUGACUAUGAUGGAUUAGACGCUGCUGCAGUCAUGUCGCAGUCAAUCCUUGAUUCCAGUUGGACUACUGCAUUGCAGCCGCUUGCAAACAGAGAGUAAACUAAUGACAACUUCACUGACAGCACCUCUAUUGAAGAAUAACUGGUGCUAAGAUUUUGUAACACCAUACCCGAGUCAGGCAUUGCUAUAGUUUCACUGUCAGUAUGUGCCUUCGAUGUUACCUCAAACAAAUUGUUCUGAAAGAAGAGAGUGGUCGAAUGCAAAUAGUCUGAGAAUUUGCACAAAUUGUUUGGCAAUUUGGAAAGGCAAGGAAAUUGUUCCUCCAGAUAUUAAUCCUUAAAGCUGCUUUUGUUCCAGAUUGUCCAUGUUCUCCAACAAUUUACUAAGACACGGAAGCCUAGUCUCUGUCUGUUAAUUAUUUUAAUCCUUGAGAGGCCUUCUUUUUUUAACAUUCCUCAAGUUCAGCAACGAUCUACGAAGGUUGCAGAACUGAGAAGUGUGAUGAGUUGUUGCCAAAUAAACGUUUUUACAAGUGGGCGAAAAAUUUUCUGUUGACUUCGAGGCGAUGUGUGUGUUUGCACUUUAAAAGCAGAAAAACUGUAGCAAAAUCUUAGAUACAUUGGCCUCAUUUGUGGCCAGAUCUGUGAAAAAGAGACCUUAUUUUCAGGGUAAUAAUUUUUCUUCUGUUUUUGCCAACAUUUCAACCUCGUUUUCGUACCACAUAAGAAUUCUUGUCGUAGAACUUCAGGACCAAUAUCUGCUUCAAUUUUUAUUUAACAAUUUUCGAUCCAACUGGCAGCAAAAUUUCCUACAUUUCCUCCUCCAUGCAUUUGCAAAAAAGAAAAGAAGAAAAUUUUCUUUUGGAAGAUGAAGUUCCUUUUCACAGAUUCGCCACCUCCAUAAGAAUUUACUUUUUUCCUCUCAUUGUUGCAUUAUUUCCAUACAAAGAGCUUCAUUUGUACCAAAGCAGAGUCUUAUUUUUAUUUUGACUGUUUUGCAAUUGUUUCAGUGAACAACUCCAUCGCGGGCGGCUCCUUCGAUCAUCAUCAUUGAUCUCAGUUUUUUGUUCAUAGAUAAUUAAUCUUGUACUUUUUCUAAUUUGUUUUGUUUGAUAUAUUACAUUUAUAAUGUUAUAUAAUGUGUUUCUCACACUUUAACUAUGAUAUUUAUUCCUCUGACUUUCUUCUUUGAUGUACAGGGUGUCCGGAAGUAAACGCACUUAACUUUAAGGAUCGAUUUUUAGGCUCACAAUAUGACCAUUUUUUCCUAUACCUAUAUACCCGGAAAUGCUUCAUAAGUGAGCUAUGCGCAUCCAAAAGUGGCAUUUUUUUCUUUCAAACUAAUGUAAAUCCCCGUUAUUUUGUUGUGAAUGACAGAAACUGGAAGUCUAGAGGUAUUUUUAGCACACUGUUCAUUUUUUAUUAUGUUUUCAAGGACAUUCUUCUUCAAAAAAUGAUGUUACGAGCCUUCCCGAAUUUUAAAAUUAUGAUAACUUUUAUGGUAGUUGACGUUUAGAACAAUGGAUCAUGGCAUGUGAAAUAGAGGCUACCGAGUAUUGGUCUUGCACGUGUUGUAAUCUGUUUUUCCAAACAUCAUCUACCAAAUAAGUUAUUGCAAUUUUAAAAUUCCGAAAGGCUUGUAACGUCAUCUUCCAAAGAUGUACGUCCUUAAAAACAUAAAAAAUUAACAGUACGCUACAAAAUACCCCCAGACCUAUAAGUUCAACCACUUACGACUAAAUGACGAGAAGUUGCAUCAAUUAGAAAGGACCUAAUGGCAACUUUAGAAGCGCAUAGCUCACUUAUGAAGCGUUUUCGGGCAUGUGUAUAGGAAAAAAUAGUCAUAUUUUGAGCCGAAGAAUCGGUUGUGAAAGUCAUAAACGUUAACUUCCGGACACCCUGUAUAAUAUCAAAAUUGUUCCAUGUCUAUUAAGAUGUUUAUCUCACACUCUCGAUGUGUGAUUUGUAUCUGUCUCACUUUCUUCUUUGAUGUGCCACAUUAACAUUUUUUAUUCGUUAUUAAAACGAUUCUUUCACAACUGCAUUAUUCAUUAAAACGAUUCUUUCACAAUUGUAUUAAAAUACUGUGGCCAUUUUGUUGUCUCACUUUCUUCUUUGAUGUGCCACAUUAACAUUUUUUAUUCGUUCAUUAAAACGAUUCUUUCACAAUUGUAUUAAAAUACUGUGGCCAUUUUGUUACUACAAUUGUAGAGAUAGGCCUUUUUUAUGUUCUAGUUUUCUUUUGCGAGAGAGACUUCGAACCUAUCAAAUGAGGCACAAGUGCCUCAGUCAUACAUAGAAUUUGCAUGUUGCGAGCUAGUUUUUUUCUGAUGUCUUGGGAGAUUCUCUGAAGACUUUUUUUUCCUCUCUUUUUGUUGGAAGGGAGGUCAAUAAUUUAAAAUUGUUAUUCAAGUCUUGCGAGAACUUGAGAAAAGCAAAGGCUUUGUAUUAUUCCUUAAUUUCUGUGUUGAAAAUCUGUUGUGAGCCCAAUAUUCCUAGUUUUGUAAUUUUUCAUUGGAAUGUGCUCUAAUGUAAUGACUAAGCAUUGUCUUUUUAUCUGUUUUUCACUCAACGAAUUCAUUAAUAUCUGUCAAUGCAAAGGUCUCCUUUCUUGAAGCCGCCCACUAACAGGAAGGGCUGUACUUGCUAAUUUAUGUUUAUUAAAAUUCAGUGUUAGUUUUAUGAAUUAAAAGUUCAAUAAUUUCUCCACUUUACUGAGAAACUCAGUUGAUUUCCCCCAACAAUCACAAAUCUUCAUCUUCUAACGACCAUUUAUACACAUACAUGUAUUUACCGUUCAUCUUUUUAUUGCCAUUAAAAUGAGCAACUAAAGAUUGAAAGGUUUCAAAAUGUACAGAAAGCAUUCUUUUCAUACAUUUUUCGUCGAUAGUUAUUGUGAUAUUCUCACAUUUUUGUCAAUUUCUGUCAAUAUAUUUUUUUUUCCCUUCAUAUGAAGCGCAUUGAUUUUUUUAAAUGAACCAUUACUGAAAAUUCGUUCAGAGGAAAUAAGUUGUACAUUUUUUUAAUUAAAUUGUUAAGUCAUUCUUUUAUGUGGCAGCUAAGCCGUCAUUAAAGGAAGUAGAUGCUCUUUUUUUUUUUAAAGUAUCCUACAAGAAUUAUUUUUGUAAAAUGUUUACAAUUUAUUAUGUACUCCUUAAAAAUAAUUAUGUAAUGAAGACGUAGGUAUUAUUUUCUUUGAAUAGCCUCUUAAGGAUUCUACCUAUUCACUUCUCACGUUUAUUAUAUAAAUUUUGAGUCGAUCACUAAGAAACAAUCAAGGUGACCUUUAAUUAAGGAUCUUGUCGAUAUUAUUUCCUUUGAACAGCCUUUUAGAUAUUAAUAUCUUUGUAAAAGUUUGUUCAAAGGAAAUAACAUCAACGCGAUCAUUACUUAAAUUUUAGGUUAAUCAUUAAUUAACCUAAA